Molecule: long non-coding RNA, 442 nt
Filed under: Rattus norvegicus (Norway rat)
Lineage: Eukaryota; Metazoa; Chordata; Mammalia; Rodentia; Muridae
Description: long non-coding RNA NONRATT017791
Source: RNAcentral
UUUUCGCUAAUUUCUUACUACUUCACUUGAGAGAGUCCCAGAAGAACGGUGUGAUGAUUCAUCAGCCCUACUUCCUCAUUUCUGCUGACAGAGAGCUAACUUUGUCUCCAUUUCCAUGGUCGUCCCAAAAGAGCAAAAACAAAACAACUUUAAAAAAAUUUUAAUUUGCUACGUUUGGUGCGAAGUGACUUCCUGUGAGCUGGAGAGGCCAAAGGCUGGAGAGACCCCACUGUAGCCCAUUCUAUGACUGAGAGAUCCGAGACCCCAAGAGCCUACAAGAUUUCCUGUUUCUACACAACCGCUCAGUAGCAUACAGAUUUGGGCAGGGAUCUGCUAGUUUUAGGCUGUGAUUUUCUGUAACUUUGUGGAUGAUAAAUAGAUCGAAGCUUAUCUGUGCUAUGUCACAAGGAAACACAUAACCAUAAAACUUUCUGGUGAGAGC